RNAcentral lists this ribosomal RNA (106 nucleotides) under Proteus mirabilis. RNAcentral's name for it is "partial 23S ribosomal RNA". It matches the Rfam family "Bacterial large subunit ribosomal RNA", at positions 1 to 106 of the family's 2925-position model. The record is from RNAcentral. Lineage: Bacteria; Pseudomonadati; Pseudomonadota; Gammaproteobacteria; Enterobacterales; Morganellaceae.
GGUUAAGCGAAUAAGCGUACACGGUGGAUGCCUAGGCAAUCAGAGGCGAUGAAGGACGUGCUAAUCUGCGAAAAGCGUCGGUAAGGUGAUAUGAACCGCUAUACCC